UCUGUAGGUGGCCAACUAAGUCAGACGUGAAAUCCUUCAGCUUAACUGGGGAACUGCGUCUGAGACUGGAUGGCUUGAGUGCAGGAGAGGAACGCGGAAUUCCAGGUGUAGCGGUGAAAUGCGUAGAUAUCUGGAGGAACACCGGUGGCGAAGGCGGCGUUCUGGACUGCUACUGACACUGAGAGACGAAAGCCAGGGGAGCAAACG
This 207-nucleotide ribosomal RNA is filed under the name uncultured bacterium. RNAcentral describes it as "partial 16S ribosomal RNA". It matches the Rfam family "Bacterial small subunit ribosomal RNA", at positions 568 to 774 of the family's 1533-position model. The record is from RNAcentral.